RNAcentral lists this long non-coding RNA (17430 nucleotides) under Triticum aestivum (bread wheat). RNAcentral describes it as "long non-coding RNA (TAES_LNC018904)". Lineage: Eukaryota; Viridiplantae; Streptophyta; Magnoliopsida; Poales; Poaceae. The record is from RNAcentral.
AACAUGCUCUUCAACAUAGGAAGAAGUCAUCAACGGUGUUCUAUCAACAACACAAGCUCCAUUCACCUACAAGAACAGAAUGGAAUAUCAAGUACUUGGAUCGUUCAAGCAGAUUACAACCAACAUAUAUAUAUAUGUAGAAGUACAUCAGGAAAUAUGAUGGAGCAAUCGGACAACAAAUACAUUAAGUAAACAGCCCAACCGAUGAGUGAUGACGACAAGCAAAGAGUAUAAACCCAGGUUUGGACAUAAAUAGUGUCAACUCAAGCAGAACAUAAUAAGGCAGUAAACUCAAGCAGAACAUAAUUAAGCACGAUGAAAGGGACCAUCCAAUUAAAUUCCAUUCCCAUCUUCUUCAGUAAGGACAGGCAAAACAUCCCAGCAUAUCUCAAGUCGAUGAAUUAUUCUAGCAAUAACCAAAUUAGAAACAUCCCUUGUUGUUCCAUUUAACCAUACUACAAGACUGUAGAAGAAUCACCCUUGGUGAAUCAAAUCAUAGCAAAUCGAGCAACAGAUACAAGAGGCACAUCAGGCCUAGCCAUUUUUGUUUCAGUAAUUUAGAAAGAGGGGCGAUGGGGCACGGAACCUUGAGGCCCUGUUACGGGGUUGUGUUUGAUGAAGGUUGCCCUUUGGGGCGGCAGCUGCAGCUCCGCCAGAUGCAGCAGCAGCUCCUCCUACCGGCACGACGGCGGUGACAGCACAAAUGGUCACCUAUGUGACAUUUCAGAUCAUCAUUACAGAAUUUAAUUUAUUUAUUCAAGACGCAAGCAGCAAAGAUAGUGUCCACCUUCGCAUAUAGAACCGAGCAUAGAUUUACAGCACAUCAAUGAUUCAAGUAGUUCAAGACUUAAUUACUUUUUCAACAUCAGGGUAAGAGAUAUGGAACAAAAAUGCACAAAUGGUGCCUAUUGAGUGAGAGCAAGAAUAAUAAAGGGGCACAGCUGUGUGAAACUGUUAUCAGCAUUGUUUCAAAGUUUACUGUGGCAUAUUUUUCAUGAUCAGUAUGACUUCUUAUAAAUAAUAACCAAUAGUACUGCCGCCAGAUCCUUACACAUGUAUAAUGGCAUGAAUAGAGCAAUAGAGCAAUGCCCAAUCCUUACACAUGUAUAAUGGCGUGAAUAUGCAAGUUAGACCUAGAUGUUACUAACAAGUGUUAUUUGCAUAAUUAAUGAAUAAGUGUGGUAUUUCUGACUAGCCAGAAUCAAUCUUUGUGCAUACAUCUGGCCAUGUUGUUCCUUGCCAAAUAAGCUCCCAAAAGUAGUAUUAAUAAAAUUGAAACAGAAUAACAUUUACAGGACUACAUGAACCACAACAAGAAAUUUUCUGUUGCGAGUAAGCUACUUGCCUUUGUCCAUUUGCUCCCACCAAGUCAAUCUAUUAUACAUCCCUUGAUCAUCAGCGAAUGGAGUUCCCUUCUUCCAGUGGAAGAAGUUGUAUGUAAUCUGAAAUGAAGAUUCAGUUAGGAAAGCAAUGACAAUAGAGAAAUAAUUUCUAGAUAGUAUGUUUCAAGCUAUAAUCUUAUGAGAAAAAUAGCAAUAAUUUGUACUUCCAGAAUUGAGGUUGGGCCAACUAGAACUACAGUAUUUACUGCCAGAAUGAUUUCAUGAAUUUUGCCACUACAUGAUUAUAUUUAAAGUAGCAAAAGAAUUAUUAAAUGCAGGCUAUUUAUUUGGCUAUUAUGAAACAGUAAACCUUCAAACUAGAAUACACUUUAUUAGUUGGCAGGAUUGGCGAAUGUGUCGUAGCAAUCUAAGAAACAGAAGUGCAUUUCUAUGUGGUAAAAUGAUGUGCCUAGUUGCUGAAAAAUGAUGUCUAUUUAUGUUGACAGAAUGCUUUUUAGGAGUUGGCAUCCAGUUCCUAUUGAGCUAUACAAGGAGGCUAGAAUUGAGCAUUGUCGUGCAACUAGGGACUUGAGUAGCUACGGCUGCUAUGUGCAACAUGUGCUCAUCAACAACAAAAAUUCCCACACUCAUCAAUUAGUAGAAAUGAAACUGAUAGUAGUAUAGUAGGUGUGGUCUGGUCCUAGCAGCAAAAAAACUUGUCACUUAUGCAUCAGAGAGAGGGGGACUACCAAAUUGAGUUGCUCUUUCAUCCAUGGUGGCGUCCCUGCAUCCAUGUAGCUGCUGCUGCUGCUGACCUUGAAGAUGCAGCUCGUCGUUCUGCUGUUGUACCAAACGAACCUUGUCGCUGCUGCACGCAUAAUAACAAAUAAGAAGUGGUUUGUCAGAUCAAACCAGAACCUUCCAUGAGAGAGAGAGAGAGGGAGAGGGAGGGAGGGAGAUUUCAAACCUUCCAUGGGCAGUAGCUAGGAGGAGUAGGCAGAGCAGAGGAGGGAGCAGCAUCUAGGAGGAGGAGGCAGAGCAAAGGAGGGAGCAGCAGCAGCACCAGAGCAACCUGCACACACAAAACAAACAAACAAACGCAGGAAUCAGAAGUGAGGAGAAGAAGAAAUGGCCGACUGCCGACUGCUGGAAUUGCCGGAGAUGGCCGGCUGUCGACUCGCGUUUGCCAUGGACGUCUCCGCCACCGUGCCCUCAUCGCCCCGUCCCCAUCCAUCCAUUGGUGGGUGGGUGAAGGUCUACAGUGUCGGGCCUCAUCCGCCCAUGGGUCGGACGGACCUGAGGGAGGGAGAGCUAGGGAGCGAGGGAGGGAUGUCGCGGUGGUGAUGGGGUUGGGGGAGACGGUCACCGGUGGGGUUGGGGGUGGGUGUCGGCACCNNNNNNNNNNNNNNNNNNNNNNNNNNNNNNNNNNNNNNNNNNNNNNNNNNNNNNNNNNNNNNNNNNNNNNNNNNNNNNNNNNNNNNNNNNNNNNNNNNNNNNNNNNNNNNNNNNNNNNNNNNNNNNNNNNNNNNNNNNNNNNNNNNNNNNNNNNNNNNNNNNNNNNNNNNNNNNNNNNNNNNNNNNNNNNNNNNNNNNNNNNNNNNNNNNNNNNNNNNNNNNNNNNNNNNNNNNNAAUGAGGAGGAGCCACCGCGGGGGAAGCGUGCGCGAGCAGGAGAGGAUGAGGGGGGAGAGUGAGGCUGGCGGCGAGAUUGGAUCUGGGGAGGGGAUAGGGUUUGGGUGGUUAGAGGGGAUGAGGGGGGAGAAGGGGGCGGCGACGAUGGAUCCGGGGAGGGGAUAGGGUUUGGGUGGUUGGGCUGCCCGGGGGUGGGGUUCUUUUUCUUUCUUUCUAUUUUUUUCUUUAGAUAAAUGCGAUGGAUGGAUGGAUGCCAUGUCGUCGAUCCAUGGCACAAACAUUUCAACCAAUAAGAACAAAGCUUAUGUAAUUGUAUGAACAGCCUUCCAUGAAUGCAGCUUCCUCUUCAUGUCAGAAAAAAAGGAAAAUGGAUCUAGCUUCUGUUAGUUUGCCAUCUUCUCCUCGAGAAUAUAAUGACUAAAUUUGUCAUGUCACCAUUUACAAAUUCAGAAAAAUGUUCAUGUUUUUUUAGAGAACGAACUCGUUAAUUUGUAGUUUUUUCAAUCAUGGCAACCCCCUAUGCACAUUGUAUAUCCUUUUUGCCAUGUUAUUCUAGAAAACAUGGCAAUUUUCUUAGCUUGUUUUUACUUUGUACAUGGCAAAAAUAAAGCAGAAUAAGUUUUUUGUGAAAACAUGGCAAUUUCUGUUAAGCAACAUGGAAAUUCUUGUUAAAACCACAUGGCAAGUCAUAAGGAAUUUUUUAUUAAGUAAAAUCAAAUGGCAAAAUUAGUUGUUCCAUGGCAAUUUUCUUUUUUCUUUUUCAUGAUGGCAAAUUUAAUUUUUGUACCAUGGCUUCUUCUCUAUCUUCUUUUCAUGAUGGCAAGUUUAUUUUAGUACCAUGGAAAAAUGUAUUAUUCAUUCGCGGAAAUUUCCAUGUUCGUAGAACAUGGCAAAUUGUACUAUUCUGUCAUGGCAAAUUAUACUAUUCGAUCAUGGCAAUUUUCAACCCGCAUUUUACCAUGGUUAUUUUCAGUCUGUAGGCCUAAAGAACAUGGCAACUUUCCUUUUUGUAGCAUGGUUAAUUUAUUUUUUAUUACCAUGGCAAAUUUCAUUUUGCAUUUGCUAUUGCAAAUUUUUCUUUUUCUUACCCAUGGGAAAUUUACCUUUACUGCCAUGGCAAAAUUACAUAUCUUGCCAUGGCAAUUUUUUUAUUUUUUUAUUUUGCCAUGGCAAUAUUUCCUUUUGCUUUGUCAUGGCAAAUUUUGGAUUCAUUGACAUGGCAAUUUUCACCUUUUGUUUCGCACGACAAUAUUUUCAUUCAUUGAGAUGGAAAAUUUACAUUUAUUGUUACGGCAAAUUUACUUCAACAUACAUGGCAACAUUUUGCUUUUUGGUUUUGCCAUGGCAAUAUUUUUCAUUAAUUGACAUGGCAAACUUGCAUUUAUUGCCAUGGCAAUUUUAUUUUAACAUACAUGGCAAAAUUUCCCCCUUUAGUUUUGCCAUGGCAAUUUUCCCUUUUGUUCCCCUGGGCAAAUUCAUGUCUACUGUCAAGGCAAAAGUACUUCAACAUACAUGGCAAACUUUAACUCUUUGUUUUGCUUUUACAUGGCAAUUUCUUUUCUUUUUCUUGACUUUCCAUGUUGGCGAAAUUAUAUUUUCUACCAUGGCAAUUUUAUUUUCUGUAUCACGGAAAAUUUCAUUUUUUUCCUUUUCUGUUAUUUUUUUUAGCAUGAUGGCAUUUUUAUUUUACCACCAUGGCAAUUUUAUUUUUUGUAACGUGGCAAAUUAUUCUGUUGGACCAUGGCAAUUUUUUUCUUUUUCUUUACUUUUCAUGAUGGCAACUUUAUUUAGCUACGUCGCAAAGUUUUUCUUGUAACAUGGACGAUAAAAAUUGUCUACCAUGGCAAGCUCAUUUAUGUGCAUACAUCCUCCCUUUUUCAAUUUUUCGAUAAAUUUCUUUUUAAGUAAAUUAUUUUUGAAAUAAAACAUGGUGAUUUUUUCUCUAAUAACAAUAAAAAUUAUGUUUUCGUCUUUUUUACUACGAUGGCGAUUUUAUUUGAUUACCAUGGCAGUUUUAUUUUUUAUGUAUUAUACCAUUGGACCAUGGAAAAUUAUUUUUCUUCUUAUUGUUCAUGAUGGCAACUUUAUUAAAUAAUCCUUUUCGGGAUGACCCGUCAUGAUGAAGCCCAGAGCGAAUGUCAAUUGGUUAAUGAGAAGAAAAACAAAUUUGGGCUUUCAUUUGUCUCAGAAAAAAAAACUAGUUUUGUUCGCGCCGGAACUAAUUUUAUUUCCCACGACAAUAUUCGAACGACAAUAUUUUCCCUCGUACCGAACUUCAGUUCGGACCGCUCGCGUCCCGGCCCGAACGUUCAGCAUAUAUCGAGGUCCUUUAUUAUACAUUUAAAUUCUUUUUUUCUAUUUUUGAGCAUCAGUACAGACACAAGCGCUCAUAUACACGCGCAUACACUCACCCCUAUGAACGCACUCACGCACACCCUACCCUCCGAGAGACUGAGCCGGCAUACCAUCUUGAGAAUUACGAAGUCACCGUAGGCGCUUCGUCGUCGACGAGAACGUCUCCUCCAAUUGAAAGCACAUCGCCGGAAAUCCUGAAAUAAAUUCAGAAAUAAUGCGAGCACCAGGAUUUGAACCCUGAUAGGUUGGGGAUACCACUGUCCACCUAACCAUCUCAACCACAGGUUGGUUCGCAUUAUACAUUCAAAUUCAUUUAAUGUGGUGUAACUACUAAAAGAGUUUCACUUUGAUGCAUGAGCAACAAAUGGAGACGUUUGAAACCAUAAACACAAAUUUAUAGCGCCAGCAUCUAAUUACUCCUUAUACUCUUGUUAUAUAUAGUUCGAGUCGGACAGAGAAACAAAUCAGACGACCAUGGCCCCUCUCCAAGCUCUCUCCUCCGUCCUCGUCCUCCUGCUCCUCACACAGCACGCGCGCACGGCGAGGGCGAGCACGCUGGAGGACACGUGCAGGCUCGUCGGCACCGGCGGGGCGCAGGACUACGACUUCUGCGUGAAGACGCUGGGGGCGGACCCGGCGAGCGCGAUGGCCGACGAGCUCGGCCUGGUGGUCAUCGCGGUGAAGAUCGCCAUGGCGACCGCCAAGGCCACCGGCGACCGCAUCGCCCGGCUGCAGGCCUCCGAGACGUCGCCCCGGCGGCGGCUGGUCCUGGACGAGUGCGCCAACGACUACGCCUUGACAGUGCGCUGGCUGGGGCGCGCCUCCAUGGACUUGGCCGCGGGCGGGGACGAGGACCGGCUGACGGAGGCGGCCACCCUGCUGGAGCACGUUCGUGGCACGCCGGCGCGCUGCGACAAGGCGUUCGUCCUCUGGGCCGGCGAGAGGACGCCGCUGACCGACGCGGACCACGAGCUCAACGGGGUGACCGUGCUGGCGUUGAAAAUCUUGCGCCAUUGCUUAAAUGACGGGGUAAAAUGAGCAAGUAGCACGAGGCCUUCUUCUACCUCCGGAAGAAAAUGAUCAUCUUUUCCGGCAGUGAAAUAUGUGAUGUGCAACAAUAAAAUGAGUAAUAAUAAUAACUUGCAAAAUUUCCAAUGGAGAUUGUAGAACAUUGUGGUCUUAUCAGUAUUUAUUUAUUUCAAAAAUGACGCUGAAGAUUUUCUCUGAUUCACAAGAGUUCAUUCAGAUCAGGCGAGGAAGGUUACCAUUCGAUUUUCACUGACAAUUAGGUUUUUGAUUGAGGGUUCUGUGAUUCUCCAGCUACAUGUCUUGGGUACGUGGUACCUUUCUCUGACUCUUCUUUUCAUUAUGUAACCUCUCUGGCCUUUACAAAAAAGACGUUCUCAUAACUAAAUGUCUUUCUUGUGAUUCUGAUAGGCCCACCUACGACACAUGCAUGUACACCAUGUUUCUCUACUGUAAUUUAAUGUUAUAUUUAGAUGUUACAAAAAAAUUAUUUACAUGUUACACAAAAGAGUUCAGGGUUCACUUAGAGGAAUAAUUGCUUUGCAGGUAUACAUUUACUGAAAGGGACUGAUGUGCUGAACUUUCGAGAAUUCCGAUUGGUCGUUAAUAUAACCUUUUCUCCUUUUGUUGAAAUGUCCGAAGGAAUUUCCCUUAUUUUAGGUUUUCAACUUGAGGAGUUUCGUGCUUUUUGAGUGGAGCCAUCCACAUAUAUAAUAUGAUUCUCAAAAAUUCAUUAUGAGGUAAAAUCAUUAUAUACAUAUUGUUUCCUGUAUUUUUUGUGUGAGUAGGGCCAGCUUAUUGCAUGAUUAAUAAGACAUUUUUGUGUAGUUCACCGUUUAUUUUAUUAUGUCUGUAUAAACAAGAUUUUUUGGUUAUUUGGCCUCACAAAUGUUCUUUCUUGAACAGCAACCAGCAGAGAACAAGAACAACAAUAGUGAUGAGAAAGGAAGGAGCCGAGUAUGCCACACACUGAUACGAUGGUUUCCCCUGUGUUCUCUAUAUAUGGUAAUCCACUUCUUCACUGACUCAAAUUGUUUACUGGUGAGCUAACAAGAUGGUUUUGUGUCUUCCCUCUUUCUUUGUAAGUGAAUGACUUCAGGUUCUUGGGCAUUAUUCAACUGCCAUACUUGUGGGAAAUAAAUGUACUAAACUUGUGAGAUGGAUUGAUUAAUGGGCAGUGGAAUGGGAUUAGGGCUCGCAAUUUACAAACAAUGAGUUGCAACUAUAAAGAAUGGAUUGAUUAAUGGGCAGCAGAAUGGGAUUAGGGCUCUGCAUAGUUAUGAGUUGCAACUACAAAGAAUGGAUUGAUUAAUGGGUAGUACAAUGGGAUUAGGGAUCUGCACAGUUAUGAGUUGCAACUACAAAGAAUGGAUUGAUUAAUGGGUAGUGAAAUGGGAUUAGGGAUCGCAAUUUACAAACAACUCAAAAACGGUAAAAGUAACAAAAAUAUGAGUCGCACUUGGGUACGUGGUUGAAAAGAAAAUGAAACAUUGAAAUGCUUCUGCCUCCCAAAGAGGCGUACCAGCAUUUUCAUCGAAGGGAAAAUGUUUCAGAAUCUGGGGGUUUCAUCACCUGCUACUGUAACUGUUGUGUGUAAACAUGAGAGGUGCGCCUCUCAUUACAUUCCAUAUUUGCUUGAAUGCAAAUGUUUUAACUAUUAUGUGUAUAUAAAUGAGAGACGCAUUACCUCCAUAUUUGUUGGCAGGUCAAUGUUUUUAGAUAGGGUGCUAUUCAAUUCUAAUUGAUUUGCUCCAGGUAAACCCACGGGUCCUCGUCCUAGGGUUUCCGCCGCCGCCAUGGGCGACUCCCUUGCUUCCGCCCUAGUCUAAGCCGUUUCUCACCAUGAGUCUACGUGGUAGUUCGUCCUCCGGAUUACGGAGGGAGUCUAAGCCGUCUACGUUUCGUCUCGGAAGGAAGGAGCACCCGUCUGGGGCCGUGACCGGCAAGGGAACUGUGGCGGGCGGGACUCUCAUAAGUCCUCCAGUCCGCCGCAAUCUUCCUGGCAAGAUUGCGCCUUUCAAUAACCCGCUCUUCGACCCUAAAGCUACGUCUGCAGCAACCGCGCGCUCUCCAUCGAUGUCGUCCGCUGGCGAUGGGGGUGAAAAAGGGGGGGCCGAUGAGGCCCCUACCCACCCGAAGUCGUUCGGUGGCGAUGCGAUGGUGCCCGCGCGGGGUUCCGGAGGUCAGAUCGAGCCGGCGGAAGAGUUUGAUCACACCAGCAACUGGGAUGAGAGGGAAAGUGUGGGGCUGGAUGGUCCGGAGGUCAGUAUUGGCGGCGAGGUGAACCUAGAUGAUGAUGUUGUUGUGGAAGAGGAACCUGCAGUGGAGCCGGUGGCGGCGCCGCCGCGAUGGAGAUUGCUAGGCCGUUACGUCAGCAUCGGGCGCCCAAACGUCGACGACAUGACGGAACACUUCAGCGAGGUCUGGAAGGUACGAACAAGCCUCAAUAUUGCAAGGAUUAAGAACAAUUGGUAUGCGGUGACCUUCUUCUCCGAGGGAUAUUACAACUUUGUAGCAAGAGGAGGAUCUUGGAUUUUCAAGGGAAACACACUCAUUGUUGGCCCGUUCAAGGAAGGAGAGCAGCCUUCUGAGGCUGUACUGAAUUCAGUCCCGAUCUGGGUCCGUGUAUACAAUGUUCCGUGGGGAAAGCAGACUAUUGCGUAUGACGAAUUUCUUGCAGGCUUGUUGGGUACCGUCAUGGAGGUGGAUGCUGAGGCUGAUGGGAGCAGGGUUCGCGAGUUCUUGCGUAUACGUGUGGACCUGCCACUUGGCCGCCGGCUCCAGACCAAAAUUACCAUCGGCAAGGACCCGGCGAAACAAGUUAUCUACCCACUCCGUUACAAGAGGGUGCCCCACUACUGCUUCUGGUGUGGAUUCAUAGGCCACGAUGGCAACCAGUGCGAGAAGAAAAGGUUGGGUGUUCCGACCCGAGCAUAUGAUGAAGGGUUGAGGUGCUCUCCGUACAGAAAGUUUGAGAAUAGAUCAGGCGUUUGUGGCACCUGGAACCCAGCCUGCAGCAAGACGGGGGCUGAACUUUGCUAGUAAUGCUCCCUCUGAGGUUCUUGGAAAGCCAAGAGAGAGGCGUAGAGGGAAGGGAAGUCAAGAGCAGCAGCAAACACCAGAGAUACCAGUACGGGUUGAUGCUCACGACGGUUUUGGCGAACACAGCAGCUCUGACGGACACAACAUGGACACGGACAUUUCUGAUCGUGUUUUAGCUAUGCGUGUACACUUGGCUAGGCAGAGAGCUGAGGCCAGCAGAGUCCGUACGGUGCGGGCAUCAUCUGAACCUCCAGAGUUUGUCUUCCUUGGAGGUAGAAUACCUGCGCCCCUGCCACUUUCAGUACGCCCACCUAGGAGUGAGCCGAGCCACAGCAGCAACCUUGGGAGCAAGGAUAUGAUCCCGGCCAUGCGUAACCUUCACGACACCUCAGAUUUUUCAUCUGCUGAAUCCGAUCAAUACAUGCAAGAGGCUGAUUCUGUUCUGGGGAAGAAAUUUUCACGUGGGCAAGCGUCCGACGACCUGAAUCCCAACCAGGGAGCUAUGGUGGUGCAUGCAAAGAGGGGCGUUGUCAACAAGCAGAAACGAGGGAAGACUCAACAGAGUGGCAAAGGCAAGAACCAAGAUGAGGAGAAGAUGGACUCGGACAGCAUGGAUGGAGUGGAGGCAACCGGCCUUGGGGCCGCCGGUAAACUGACGGGGUCGGGUGCGCCGCCCCGUCAGGAGCAAUGAAUUGGCUAAGUUGGAACUGCCGGGGGGCGGGGAAUCCCUCGACAGUUCAUGAUCUCGCGUCUCUUGUUAUGACGCAAUCCCCAAGUCUUGUUUUCUUGUGUGAGACUAGGCAAAAUAAAAAUAAGAUGUAUCAUUUGCGUAAUAGGUUAGGGCUUUCUGGUUCUGAAGGAGUCAGUAGUAAUGGUCGUAGUGGCAGCCUAGCACUAUUUUGGCAUGAGUCUAUGUAUGUCGAUGUGCAAGAAGCUAUUGAAAGAUUGAUUGACGUGUAUUUGCGUGUCUCCCCGGACAAGCCAUUAUGGAGAGCUACAUUUGUUUAUGGCGAACCGAGAGUAGAAAAUAGACACAUGAUGUGGGAUAAGCUCAAAGGUCUGCAUGCUCAGAGCGCUCUGCCAUGGGUGAUUAUCGGUGACUUCAAUGAGGGUAUGUGGGAUUUUGAGCAUCAAUCGGAAACUCCGAGACCUGCUGGUCAAAUGAUUAAUUUUCAGGAUGCACUUGAAGCUUGUGGACUCACUGAUCUUGGUUUUUCAGGGCACCCCUUCGCAUAUGAUAAUAGGCGGAGUGGCCGGGCGAACGUCCAAGUUUGGCUGGAUAGAGCGGUGGCGUCCAAUGACUGGAGAGACAUGUUUAUGCAAGCUUCGGUGGCAAACCUUGUAUCGCCAGCGUCGGACCAUAGUCCACUGCUCCUCAAGUUCUCGCUGGAACAGGACAGGUGGCCUCACAGCAGCCGCCGGUACGAGUUGAUGUGGGAGAGAUCGCCGGCGUUAGAGGCCAUUAUCGCAAACUCUUGGUCAAGCAAAGGUACGAAGAGGAACCUGGGAGAUGUACGGGAGGCCCUUGCUACUGUUAUGGCUGAUCUACACACUUGGAGUAAUAAAACUUUUGGCAAUGUUACACGGGAGCUUGAAAAGUCACGUACUAGGCUUGAGGAACUAACCAAUAUGAAUGCAGACCGAGCUUAAAUAAGAUUGGAGAUGGACAAGAUGAAUGAGCUGUUAUACAGGGAGGAAAUGUUGUGGCUCCAGAGAUCUCGGAUUGUUUGUCUAAAGGAAGGGGAUCGUAACACCAAGAUGUUCCACAGGAAGGCAGUUUGGCGAGCGAGAAAGAAUAAAAUCCGAGGGCUGGAGGAUGAGGCGGGUGUUAUUCACACCGAUUAGGCCAACAUGCUACAGAUGGUAAAAUGUUAUUUUCAUAAUUUAUUCACAGCUGACCCAAUGUUGGAUCCACAUGAUGUGUUACAGCUUAUACAGCCCAAGGUGUCCGUGGAGAUGAACAAUAAUCUAUGCAAGGAUUUUACCGAUGAGGAGAUUUCUAAUGCAAUGUUCCAGAUAGGGCCCCUAAAGGUGCCGGGGCCGGAUGGGUUCCCCGCGAGAUUCUUCCAGCGGCAUUGGGCGUGAUGAAGGAUUACAUAAUUAAUGCGGUUAAAUUAUUUUUUGCCUCUGGAGUCAUGCCAGACGAGAUAAACAGCACGGUCAUUGUUUUGAUCCCCAAGAUUGACUCGCCGUCCCGACUCACUGAUUUUCGGCCUAUCAGUCUCUAUAAUGUCAUAUAUAAGGUGAUAGCCAAAUGCCUGGUCAAUAGGUUGAGGCCUAUUUUGGAUGAGUUGGUGUCCCCAGAGCAGAGCGCCUUUGUACCGGGCAGAUUAAUUACAGAUAAUGCAUUAAUCGCUUUUGAGUGUUUUCAUGCGAUCAAACAGGAGAAGGACCCGGAGCAGAGCUUUUGUGCCUAUAAACUGGACCUGUCCAAGGCUUACGAUCGGGUAGAUUGGGUUUUCUUGGAGUGAGUGAUGCAACAAAUCGGUUUCUCUAACCGAUGGGUGGAUUGGAUAAUGAGGUGUGUCACCUCGGUGAGGUAUUGUGUGAAAGUCAAUGGAGCCCUCUCGGAUUCAUUCGCACCGUCUCGUGGACUACGGCAGGGAGACCCCCUCUCACCUUUCCUUUUCCUUUUUGUUGCUGACGGUCUUGAUACUAUUCUAAAACAGGAGAUUGCAACCAACCGCCUCACUCCACUCCGGGUGUGCGCCCAAGCUCCAGGCAUCUCACACCUCCUGUUCGCGGAUGACACCUUAUUGUUCUUUCGUGCUAAUGGAGAGGAGGCUGCCCAAGUCAAAGAAGUUAUCAAUACAUAUGCUAGAGCUACGGGCCAGCUCAUAAAUCCUGCCAAGUGCUCUAUAAUGUUCAGCCCCAAAUGUUCACAAGCUAACAAGCAGGAGGUCAUGCACAACUUGGACGUGGUGAAUAUGAGCUUUGAGCAGAAAUAUCUUGGCUUUCCAACGCCAAGUGGCCGCUUUUCAAAAGGGAAACUACACAAUCUUCAGCAACACCUGACAAAGAGAAUUAUACAGUGGGGAGAAUUGAUGUCCCAAGCAGGACGUGAGGUUCUUAUUAAGGCGGUGGCGCAGGCCCUACCCACCUUCCUAAUGAGUUUGUUUAAAUUUCCUAGAAGCACCUGCGAUGAUUUGGGGCAGAUGAUUCGUAGCUACUGGUGGGGCACGUACAGAGGCAAGAGGAAAACCCACUGGAAAUCUUGGGACUCGAUGCUAAGGCCCAAAUCGGCUGGGGGUAUGGGAUUCAAGGACUUCAGACUCUUCAACCAAGCAAUGUUAGCUCGGCAAGCAUGGCGUAUUUUGGUCAACCCGGAAUGUCUUUGUACGCGCGUCUUGAAGGCAAGGUAUUUCCCUAAUGGACGAUUAUAAGAUACUGUUUUCACUAGCAACGCGUCGCAAACUUGGCAGGCCAUUGUGCAUGGGUUGGAAUUGCUGAAGAAAGGCUUAGUCUGGCGCAUCGGUAACGGGCAGUCGAUCCGAAUUUGGCGGGACUCCUGGAUACCACACCCUGUUGGUCGGCCACCAAUUACCCAACAAGGAAGGUGCUGUCUCCGCCGAGUCUCGGAGCUACUAGACGAGCAUGGUGCAUGGCGCGGAACCCUACUUCAACAGUACUUUUUGCCCGUUGAUGUUCAGGAGAUACUAAAGAUUAAAGCGUCCCCUCGGCUGGGGGCAGAUUUCCUUGCAUGGGAUGCAGAACGUACUGGUAUCUUCACCGUACUUAGCGCGUACCGGCUGGCGCUUGAGGACAAGCUUUGUCCCUCUUCAGUCGCAGCGAGCAGGGCACCGGACGGGCGACGUGCCGUCUGGGCAUUAUUAUGGAGGUGCCCUGCUCCUCCUAAGGUGCGUGUGUUUGCAUGGCGUUUGGCUACUAACUCCCUUGCCACAUGGUCUAAUAAAUUUAGUCGACACAUGGAGGUUACUGAUAUAUGCCCAUUAUGUGGUCUCGAGCGCGAGGACACUUUUCAUGUGUUUUGCAGGUGCCCUCGGACGGUGCAUUUGUGGCGGACUAUGGCGGAGGUGUGGAGUAUACCGGACAUCGAGUCAGUCCGUAACACCGGCCCAGAGUGGCUCCUGAACCUAAUUGCAGAAAGCAAUGAAGGGGACCGGCUGCGCCUGAUUAUGCUUUUGUGGAGAUGUUGGCAUGUGUGCAACAAGAUCACUCAUGACAAACCGGCGCCGCCUGUGGAGGUAUCCCGUCGCUUUUUGCAGAGCUACGUAACCUCACUGCUCGGGAUCCAGCAGUAUCCACAGGGAGAUUGGGACAAAGGGAAGAUGACCAUCCAACAAGAAGGUGCAGAACAACCUAUAUCACACGUGGGAGGUGUGCCACGAAUAGUCCACAAAUGGAGUCCCCCACCCGCCAACUGGACGAAGCUGAAUGUCGAUGGCUCCUUUUCCCAUGAUGACGGGAGGGCCGGGACGGGAAUGGUGCUCCGUGACCAGGAAGGGGCCAUUAUUUUCUCCGUGUGUCGCUCGCUAUGGUCUUGACCGGACCCUCUACAUGCCGAGCUGGCUGGGUGCAUGGAGGGCAUAGCUUUGGCCCUCCAAUGGACAGAGUUGCCGUUUAUCGCCGAGUGCGAUAGUCUGCAGGCAGUGCAACUGAUAAAUGCCUCAGGACAAGACCGCUCGCAGUAUGCCAUGGUGGUCUCGGAAGUGAAGCAUCUUGUGUUGAAAGGGAGUGUCAUGUUAUUCAUAUUUCUCGAGAUCAGAAUAAUGUAAGCCAUGCGUUGGCGAAAUUUGGAAGGACGGAGGACCGUACUGUGGUCUGGCUCCGCUCCGGCCCGGACAAUAUCCCUAGCUUGUGUAGGGAGGACCUUCUUGGCUCUUGAGUAAUACAAAUCCCUUUUACCCCGCAAAAAAAAAUUCUAACUGAUUUAACAUAAACAUUUUGGCUAAAAAAAGGUUAAUCAAUUGACAAUAUUGCAACAUAUGCAUGAGGAUCCCUCGAAAAAAAACAUAUGCAUGAGGAUAAUAUUUAUGCUCCGUUGAAACGCACGAGCAAUUAUCUAGGAUGAUGGGACUUAACAAAUUGUCAAAUUUGGAGGGAACACCAGAUGGAUUUGGAUUGGGCUGACAACAAGUGAAGUAAUAAUAAUAGAGUGGCCAAAGAGCUGAAGUUGAGGGGCUCCUGAUAGAUCCAUUUGUUGGCCCGUGGCAAUGCACGGGCGUUCUACUAGUUUUCAUUAAUAGAUCCAUUUCCCCUCAAUCUCUGGCAAAUUCUUUGGGGCGUGCUACGCGUCAGCCGGCGGAUCUUUUUAAAAGAUCCAUCAGGUUCUGAGCCUUCGAAUCUGACAUGAUCUCGCGGCCGAGCGUCUUCCUCACUUUUGUAACAGAAAUCGUGUUGUGAGAACCCUUUUGCAACAUAGGUCUUGUUGCAUAAACGUCAUCGCGUAGAACAACACUAGCACACUUGUGGGAACUGUUGUUAUGGCGGCACCAGCGGUUGUGACUGAGCUCGAGGAGGCAACAACCAUGCAUGCUUGUCCACGCCGGUGCUCCCUCGGGAGGGCGGGGUGACGGCGGACGCGGCUCCCCGUGGAUGCGGAUGCCGGUGCUUUCCCGAUACGGCGGACGCGACUUGAGGACUUGGGGCGGCUUCAAAUGGAACCUGCGUCCUGCGGGGAUGAGAGUUCGGAGAAAGAGAGGAAAAUGGCUGGGAGAAGACAACGGAGGUUUUUGAAGAUAAGGUAAGGGGCACAUGGCUGGUUGGGGCUAGUAAAAACAUAUGUGAACGUCUGCGGUAUGAUCAGAUGGGAUCCAAUGUUGUAUGGGCGGCGGAACGUUGUCCGUGAUCGGUGAAUGAUUUCUCUAAACUUUUUUACCAUUUGUUAAUUACAUUUGUCAAAAUUUUAUUGUGGAAGUGGGUACAUCUCAGUCGACUGAGACUUAACCUCAGUCAAGUGAUAUAGUACAAGGAGAAAAAGAAAAGAAAAAUGAAGAAUCCUUUUUGCAUGGAUCUCCAUGCAAGAUCAAAGGAAUAUAGCAUCGAUUGAGACAAAACAAAGUCUCAGUCGACGGAGUACUCAGCAAAACUAUUUUAUUAUCGGAAUCAAUUACUUCCGAACGACCAGUAUUUUAAGCUUUUGGGCCGAACGUGCUUUUCAUCAUUGGAUUCAGGUAUGAAUCUUAGAACAGAGGAAAUUAGCCAGGUCAGCUUUUUAUUUCGUUCGAGGAAAUUGACUACCGCCGCGAAUGCUCCCCACCACCACUCCUGUGUUUCCCCGUCCCAGCCACUCCUUACCCAUUUCUCUGCCACACAGUCGCCCCAUCUACCCCCACCAACACCGUCCCAGCCCUUUCGUUUACUCUGGCGACGGUGUUGGCGGUGAUCCCAGCGUGGUUCAGUGGCGCUAUGUGGAGAUGGAGGCUCACGCGCAUCAUGCGGUUGGUGGAUCUCGGCUGCUGCGGCCAUGUCGAUGGCGGCGGAGGCGAGGGACCCACACUUGCUGGUGUCGUGAUUCCAGUGGGCCGGAGCUGUUGGAGGUGAGGACUGGAGGUGCUCCUUUCCGCGCGUUGUCUCCGUCAGCCACCUCGACCCCUGGUGGAGGGGCGGUCUCAAGUCUCACCGACGGUUUCUCGGUGCGUGGCCCCGUGUUGAUGGCGGCAGAUAGACCGGCUGUAUGCCUGGUCGUGCUGCUAUUUUGGAGGGUAGGAGAUCAGGCUCGCGGGUGCCCGCGCCCAAUCUGAAGCCGGGAGGGAGACGCUCUUGUGUAGUUGUGUGUGCCCAUCGUCGCUGCAGCAGCUCCGCUCGUGCACGCCAGCAAGAGCUCCGCCGCCAGCUCCUGUCGCUUUGGGUCUUACAUCAUCUGCCGCAUCCCCAAACAUCAUCGACUGUGGCCCUAUCCGGUGAGCACCAACCUCUCUUUUUUGCUUGUAACUAGAUGCUGCUUUGUGGCACCACAAGAAAUAUGUCAACUUGUGACCCUUGCUAUUGGGCAUUGAAAGGUCAUUGUUUUCAUUUGCGACUUUUUUGUGACCAAAAACAGAAGGUCAAAAGCUGGCAGUCGUAAACUGAAAUUAGUGACCUUCUUUGUGAUAUGUAAAAGGUCGUUGGUUCCAUGACCAAAUUUUUGGUCACUAGCAACCUCCCCAUGCCACGUAGGCAUCCAGCGUGGCAAGCUGGUGUGACACAAGAUUCAGCCCGGUCCAAUUCGGUUUUCUACAUGGGCCUAGCCCAACAAUUCAGCCUUUUUACUGUAUAUUUUCUCUAUUAAUUUUCUCUAGCUAUAUGGGCCUAGCCCAACAAUUUGGCAUUUUUAUUUUCUAGGCAUGGCCUUUUGCGGUCCAUUUCAUUUUUAUUUUCGAGGGUUUUUUGUGGUCCAGUUUUUAGAUGGGUCCCAAUUGUCAGAUUUUUCCUGGCAGUAGAUCCACAUCGCUUUUUAAGCAGUAUAUAUAAAACAGGAAGAAGAAAAGAAUAUGAAAAUCUUCAAAUAACAACUAAAAUAGGUUUAUUACAAUAUAUUCUGUGCAGAACAGAACAUGUGAAACUCCAUACACUCGUUCACAUCACAACAACCAGUUUAACCUACAAAUAUUGCAUGCCCAGGAACUUAAAACUUCACGUACAUAACCAUACAAUAUUCCACACAAUCACAAAUAUUGUGAUUGAAAAAUAAAACACUCUGCCAAGUUAAAGCUAGCUAUUCUUGGAUACCAUGGAACAUGCUCUUCAACAUAGGAAGAAGUCAUCAAUGGUGUUCUAUCAACAACACAAGCUCCAUUCACCUACAAGAACAGAAUGGAAUAUCAAGUACUUGGAUCGUUCAAGCAGAUUACAAGCAACAUAUAUAUAUAUAUAUAUAUAUAUAUGUAGAAGUACAUCAGAAAAUAUGAUGGAGCAAUCGGACAACAAAUACAUUAAGUAAACAGCCCAACCGAUGAGUGAUGACGACAAGCAAAGAGUAUAAACCCAGGUUUGGACAUAAAUAGUGUCAACUCAAGUAGAACAUAAUAAGGCAGUAAACUCAAGCAGAACAUAAUUAAGCACGAUGAAAGGGACCAUCCAAUUAAAUUCCAUUCCCAUCUUCUUCAGUAAGG